GAUGAACGCUAGCGGCAGGCUUAACACAUGCAAGUCGAGGGGCAGCACGUCUUCGGAUGGUGGCGACCGGCGCACGGGUGCGUAACGCGUAUACAAUCUACCUUUUACAGGGGCAUAGCCCGGGGAAACCCGGAUUAAUAUCCCAUGGUAUCAUUUAGUAGCAUCACUUGAAUGAUUAAAGUUUCGGCGGUAAAAGAUGAGUAUGCGUCCUAUUAGCUAGAUGGUAAGGUAACGGCUUACCAUGGCAACGAUAGGUAGGGGUCCUGAGAGGGAGAUCCCCCACACUGGUACUGAGACACGGACCAGACUCCUACGGGAGGCAGCAGCGAGGAAUAUUGGACAAUGGGCGAGAGCCUGAUCCAGCCAUGCCGCGUGCAGGAAGACUGCCCUAUGGGUUGUAAACUGCUUUUAUACGGGAAGAAACACCCUCACGUGUGAGGGCUUGACGGUACCGUAUGAAUAAGGAUCGGCUAACUCCGUGCCAGCAGCCGCGGUAAUAC
RNAcentral lists this ribosomal RNA (500 nucleotides) under uncultured bacterium. RNAcentral's name for it is "bacterial SSU rRNA". It matches the Rfam family "Bacterial small subunit ribosomal RNA", at positions 28 to 526 of the family's 1533-position model. The record is from RNAcentral.